This 465-nucleotide ribosomal RNA is filed under the name uncultured bacterium. Its description in RNAcentral is "partial 16S ribosomal RNA". It matches the Rfam family "Bacterial small subunit ribosomal RNA", at positions 29 to 507 of the family's 1533-position model. The record is from RNAcentral.
AAUGAACGUUGGCGGCGUGGAUUAGGCAUGCAAGUCGAGCGAGAACCCCGCAAGGGGGGACAGCGGCGAAAGGGACAGUAAUGUGUAGAUUAUCUGCCCUCAGGUCCGGGAUAGCUGCGGGAAGCUGCAGGUAAUACCGGAUAACAUCUCCGGAUCAAAGGUGUGAUUCCGCCUGAGGAUGAGUCUGCAUCCUAUUAGCUAGUUGGUGGGGUAAUGGCCUACCAAGGCAUUGAUGGGUAGCAGGUGUGAGAGCACGACCUGCGUCAUUGGGACUGAGACACUGCCCAGACACCUACGGGUGGCUGCAGUCGAGAAUCUUCGGCAAUGGGCGCAAGCCUGACCGAGCGACGCCGCGUGUGGGAUGAAGGCCUUCGGGUUGUAAACCACUGUCAGAGGGGAUGAAAUGCAGGUGGGUUCUCCCAUCUGUUUGACAUAGCCUCAGAGGAAGGACGGGCUAAGUUCGUG